Molecule: ribosomal RNA, 404 nt
Filed under: uncultured bacterium
Lineage: Bacteria
Description: bacterial SSU rRNA
Rfam family: Bacterial small subunit ribosomal RNA
Source: RNAcentral
UGGGGAAUAUUGGACAAUGGGCGAAAGCCUGAUCCAGCAAUGCCGCGUGGAUGAAGAAGGUCUUCGGAUUGUAAAGUCCUUUCGGCGGGGACGAUAAUGACGGUACCCGCAGAAGAAGCCCCGGCUAACUUCGUGCCAGCAGCCGCGGUAAUACGAAGGGGGCUAGCGUUGCUCGGAAUGACUGGGCGUAAAGGGCGCGUAGGCGGUUUGGUUAGUUAGACGUGAAAUUCCCGGGCUCAACCUGGGGACUGCGUUUAAGACAGCCAGACUUGAGUGAGGAAGAGGGUCGUGGAAUUCCCAGUGUAGAGGUGAAAUUCGUAGAUAUUGGGAAGAACACCGGUGGCGAAGGCGGCGACCUGGUCCUUUACUGACGCUGAGGCGCGAAAGCGUGGGGAGCAAACAGG